CCUACGGGUGGCAGCAGUGAGGAAUAUUGGUCAAUGGACGAGAGUCUGAACCAGCCAAGUAGCGUGAAGGAUGACUGCCCUAUGGGUUGUAAACUUCUUUUAUAUGGGAAUAAAAUGUUCCACGUGUGGGAUUUUGUAUGUACCAUAUGAAUAAGGAUCGGCUAACUCCGUGCCAGCAGCCGCGUUAAUACGGAGGAUCCGAGCGUUAUCCGGAUUUAUUGGGUUUAAAGGGAGCGUAGGUGGAUUGUUAAGUCAGUUGUGAAAGUUUGCGGCUCAACCGUAAAAUUGCAGUUGAAACUGGCAGUCUUGAGUACAGUAGAGGUGGGCGGAAUUCGUGGUGUAGCGGUGAAAUGCUUAGAUAUCACGAAGAACUCCGAUUGCGAAGGCAGUUCACUGGACUGCAACUGACACUGAGGCUCGAAAGUGUGGGUAUCAAACAGGAUUAGAUACCCUAGUAGUC
RNAcentral lists this ribosomal RNA (460 nucleotides) under uncultured bacterium. Its description in RNAcentral is "partial 16S ribosomal RNA". It matches the Rfam family "Bacterial small subunit ribosomal RNA", at positions 338 to 795 of the family's 1533-position model. The record is from RNAcentral.